This is a long non-coding RNA of Salvelinus sp. IW2-2015, 4368 nucleotides long. RefSeq lists it as uncharacterized. NCBI's taxonomy places the organism in Eukaryota, Metazoa, Chordata, Actinopteri, Salmoniformes, Salmonidae. The record is from RefSeq and is a predicted model, not a curated record.
UAAGGCUGUAAAGUAAUAAAAUGUGGAAAAAGGGAAGGAGUCGGUCUGAAUACUUUCCGAAUGCGUUGUAUAUACAGCCUGAGACAUUUGUGUGCGAACUCGAGUAAAUGUUCCUUACAAGUCAGAGUGUUGAAUAAAAUUACAUGCAAACUCUACCYGUUGCUGUACUGUUUGUCCUUCUGCUGCUCUAAAUUUGAGACAAAAAUAUCCGCAGGAAAGUAUUGUUUACCCAACUUUUUAAAGAGCRGGUAGGUGUAUGGCUUGGUUCGGCACAGAGGUAAAGCUAGUUUCAUGUUAGAUUUUCUUAUUUCAAUCUUUAGAAAAAUAAAAUAAAAAUGUGGAUUGUUCACCAUUCUCACGGGAUUCUGGAUCAUUUUCAUUGUCAUGGCAUGCUUGGUUUCAUAUGCUUAGUAGUGAGAAACCAUGCAUAAAGUAGAUGAUAAUUGUACUUUUGGCCACUUGAGACCACUCUGUGUAUUCCAGAAUGAUAACUUGCAAAAGUGGUAGAUUAGUCCUAGCAGCAGUAACCAGUCACACAAUUCAGACAUUCUGCAACUUGAAAAUAGAGAUUGUGAACAACAAUGCCCCUAGAAGUCACAAGAGGCAAUUGGAUGGCUCCUGAAUUGAUGACAGGAACAAGACUCCUUUCAAAAAGCCCUGUAGUCCAAAGACAGUCUCCCCAGACCUGUCUUGUGUUGUAGAUUCAUGCAACCCCUUCCAGAUAUAGUCACUGUCUCCCCUGCUACUGACACCCAAGAAGUUCCAUCUAGUGUGGAAAAUACAGUGAAAGUUAAAGGUACACCAGAAUCUGUAUGUGUGUCAAACUUCGAUAAUGUCCAGAGUGGGCAAGAAGGAGAAGCAGGCACUAGACAGGGUGGUGUUGCGGCUCCAAGCAGCCCAGCAUCUAACGACACUGAGGCCUGUUUUUGACUUUGACGUGGAUGACAUGUGCCUGAGCCCCAUUGACAGCGACAGGGGGAGGGAUGAGGGCAUUGAAGCCUUCGUCGAAAGCUGUAACAGCUUUUACGACACGGACAGUGUCCGUAACCCUAGUGACGGAGACAACCAGCAACUAAGCCUCUCUUGGCUCAGUCCAACACAGGGUAGGGAAAUGAUGAGGUGGGAGAGGGGGAGGAUGGAAAAUGAGACAAGAUGGUGGGAGAAGGAGAAGGAGAAAGAGGGAAAGGAAAAGAAAAAGAUAAACCAACAGGAGGAAGAGGAGAGCGUAAGCGAUGAGGGUUAUUUCUCCAGGUCCUACCUAUAAGCACUGAAGGCAGGGAAGGACGUGUCAAGCUGUGACGCCCCUGCAGCCCCACAUCUCGUACAGCCCUUUGGUCAGGGGAAGGGAAGGAUUGCAGAGGCCACAGGUGGCUGUGUCAGAGGAGGGGGAGCCACCGUGUCACCCAGAUUUCCCUGAGACCAAUGAGUGCCAGGCUGUGGUUUGCCAGCCGAUCAACUCAUUCACUCUGGAGGUUGUUUCUUAUGGGUUAUAUGGGGAACCUCUAGUCCCAGUGGAGGGUGCAGAUGAGGGCUUGGAGGUGGAGGAGGAAGUGGGGGCUUCAUUCAUUCCAUAGCCUCUCCAAGUCCAUGUAAGAGGUCCUUAAGCUGACCAGAGAUGUGACAAAUGGACAAUUAUGCUUAACGUUAAAACAGCCAUUUUUUAAAUUUGUUUUCUGUUAAAACGAUAGAAAAUCAUAAAAUUCCACUUCAAUUCACAAUGCAGAACAAUGAUCCUAUUACAUAUAUAUGACCGCUAGGGCCGGGCAAUAAAGUUAUAUCUACCGCAGUCAUAUACCCUUGAAAGUGUCUCGGAAUGCCGCUUCUGAAGCGGGACUAACGUCCAUUACUAGGCUACCAGAACUGUCAAUCAAACAGGACGCAGACCACUCUCUCUUAAAAGAAAGUUCUUGAAAGUUUGUUAGUAGAAAGAAAAUACAUCUUCUGCUAGGAAUCGACUCCUAAGAUGCAGUACUUUGGAACGGAGGAGACUGAUUAGUUGCCAUACUUCCAAGAACACUUGCAUCUUUCAUAGAGAGCUAGCGAGGGACUGAGAGAAGAGGAGGGGCACAGUAUAGGCAGUUGGCAACCAGGCCGAAUCGUGCACUAGGCCUAUCUAUCCGCAUUGGAAUCCUGUAUAGUUUUUCCUUUAGGGAUUUUUCUUAAUGUUAAGGAUCCCAAUUUGGUUUAAAUGUUCACACCCCUAAAGCUGACACAUUGUAAUAUGCAAAUAUAUUGUUUCUCUUAAUGUAGCUGUGAGAUGUAACUAAUAAUAUUUCAUCAUUAACAAACAGGUUUCCUGUAUUUUGUGUCCAUAUGCAUAUUUAUUUAUUUGUUUUGCCUCUAUCAACUGUUAAGAUUUGGUUGUGACUGUAUAGCUGUUGUGUGGAUAUCUCUGUUCAUAUUGCUCUAAGACCUUCUGCCGUGUCCAGGGGAGGUCAGUAGUGGUGCUUCCCAGCGUGCAACAGAGCAACAGCAGCAAACCCUCAACGCCGCCUGAGCAGAAAGGAUCCGAGACCAGGGGUGAUGACCGAGCUGCUGAACCUGAUGAACCAUGUGGCUGACCAGGCACCAAGCCUCAACGGCAGCCCCCCUCAGAUCUCCACUGCAGCAGAACCAGAACUACAGGAACCCCCGGUGCUUUGCCAAGGUCCCACAGAUCUUCGAGAGAAGUCCGGUUCUGUCAAUCCAAGCAACAAAGGAUAUUUUAUCUGAAAUGUAUUAAUUUGCAUCAAGAUGUAAUAUGUUAAUUGCUAAAGUGGCUUGAAGCCCAGUGAUUCCAGUCAUUGUUUGUUUUUAUUUUGUUUUCAGUAAUAUUAGUGUGAUGAUUCUCUUUUUAUGUUAUGAUUUAAUUUGUUAAAAUUGUUCCUUUCAGCUUACCCUCCAGUGUAGGAUAACAUUGACAAAAAAGGAAGAAAAUGAUAUAACGUAAAAGCAGACUAAUAGCCUAGUCAUUUUACCUGAACCUUAGUAUGUUGCAUAUGUGGAGGGCUCUGGUCAUCAUUCCCUCAUUUCAUGGGUUCAUUGCUGCACUUGUACCUUGUUUAUAACUUCAUUCCUAGUCUUGAUUAGCUUUUUGAAUGCUGUGCMUAUUUCCCUGUCUAAGUACUUAUUUGUGCAGUUUUAAUUUCUUACCCAAUAUAUUUUGUAUUCAUACUGUUGAAGUUUUUUUAGUACUUCUGAUUAACCCUGGUUCAGCUAGAACAGUUUGAAGGGACAAUCACUUUUUUGAUCCAUCACAUUCCUGGUGUGAUAUGAUAUGUACAUGUCCAGACAUGCUCUUCACUUGCUGCCUCAGAUGGUCUGUCAUUUGUUUAUUAGCAUUAGUCAGAAAGGUAAUUUUAAGGUAAUUUUGUCUGUGGCCAUGUUAUGCUUAAUUUGCAUGAGUCUCUAGCCUUUCUAGGCUUUACAUGACAGUUUUCAUAUCAUGCUUUUUUCUACUGGUCCAGUGACCUUUGAUACCUCUUAUCUGACUCCUUCCCAGGCAUUUUAAUGACACUCCUCCCUCUGGUUCCCAGCACCAUUCACAGGAGGUGAGCAGUUCUCCUUGACCUACUUAUUGAGAGUGUUUUCAGGGAAAGGGUAGACAUUUCAUCUGAAUUAUGUAUGCCAACCUUGCCUAAAGAUGAUUGAAUCAGUGACUUAUGAGCACCUGCCUUCGACCUUACAGGUGAAUUAAACGCCUUUUUAAAACAGUGUUGUAGCUACAGUUAAUGUGGUUCAGAUGCCUUUGCUGCAGAUAUCACACUUGGUCUGUGAAAUGGUCUAAAAUGCCAAGUGUGAGUUCAAUGUGGAGGAAAGGAAGAGGAUCAUUUAUUAUGUAAAUGUAUGUUAUAGAAGCCCAGAGUCCUUUAACUUGUAUAACAUUUAUAGUCCUGUACAGCCCACAAACAUCUAGAGGUCUCUCUGUGAACAAGCCUGUUGAUGCUUAUUAUUGUAGAGUAGCAUUGAACAGUAGGCACUGAUGUAACAUUUGAGUUUAUUUGUUUGCUUUGAACUGGUGACAAUAUUUGGUAUUGUAAUGGAUCUCUAUAGAAUCCGGUAAAAUGUCUCAGUCCCAAAAGUUGGAUUAUAAUUAUGUUUGUGGGUGGAUGCCUAUGGCAUACCAUCAGCUUGUUUCGCCUUGUGUCUGUGUACAUGUGUACAUUUUUGGUGUUUCUUCUAACGUUUAUUGUAUACUAUAAUGUUGUAUGUGUAGGCCCUGUCACUAUGUCCUCCAUCCAUUAAAUAAUGCAGGCAGUUAAAGUAAGCCCGUCUCCACAGAUAUUCUGACAGUCUGUCUCUAGCCAGCCAUCCAGAAGCUGUGUGUGUGGCCUGAGCCAGACGGAUUACCAGGACGUGUACUCAGAGCAUGCGUGGKCCAACUGACCG